RNAcentral lists this ribosomal RNA (484 nucleotides) under uncultured bacterium. RNAcentral describes it as "partial 16S ribosomal RNA". It matches the Rfam family "Bacterial small subunit ribosomal RNA", at positions 30 to 507 of the family's 1533-position model. The record is from RNAcentral.
AUUGAACGCUGGCGGCAGGCCUAACACAUGCAAGUCGAGCGGAUGAAGGGAGCUUGCUCCUGGAUUCAGCGGCGGACGGGUGAGUAAUGCCUAGGAAUCUGCCUGGUAGUGGGGGAUAACGUCCGGAAACGGGCGCUAAUACCGCAUACGUCCUGUGGGAGAAAGUGGGGGAUCUUCGGACCUCACGCUAUCAGAUGAGCCUAGGUCGGAUUAGCUAGUUGGUGGGGUAAAGGCCUACCAAGGCGACGAUCCGUAACUGGUCUGAGAGGAUGAUCAGUCACACUGGAACUGAGACACGGUCCAGACUCCUACGGGAGGCAGCAGUGGGGAAUAUUGGACAAUGGGCGAAAGCCUGAUCCAGCCAUGCCGCGUGUGUGAAGAAGGUCUUCGGAUUGUAAAGCACUUUAAGUUGGGAGGAAGGGCAGUAAGUUAAUACCUUGCUGUUUUGAUGUUACCAACAGAAUAAGCACCGGCUAACUUCGUG